Molecule: non-coding RNA, 738 nt
Organism: Monodelphis domestica (gray short-tailed opossum)
Lineage: Eukaryota; Metazoa; Chordata; Mammalia; Didelphimorphia; Didelphidae
Source: RefSeq, a predicted model, not a curated record
UAUAUCAAUCGCUUUCAUAUAAUUUUUUUAAAGAGUACAGGUAAGAGAUGAUCAGAGUCUAAACUGGAUAUUGUUUAUAAAUAGUAAAGAGAAGUGAUAGGAUAAAGGAGAUAUCAAUAUAAUGGAGUUGACAAGGUGUGGUAAUUAAUUGAUAUAUGUUGGAAUAUAAUGGGAAGAGAAGGGUCAUAGAUAACUCACAAGCUACUUUGUUUCCCUUUCAGUUAGGUGGCACCACAGUGCAUAGAGCAUCAGGACAGGAGUUGGGAAGAGAGAGAAAUGAGCCAUGAUGUGAUUAUACAAUUAUUUCUUUGUGUCUUGCUUGUUUGCCAUCACACAUUUCUGGAUUUCAAGACAACUUUUGUAUUGAAAUGAGUUACCAGAUCAAGAAGAAAAAUAUGUUAAGUCUCUAGGACAUCCUUCAGAUACAUACCCUUCUGUCAUCUGACACCACCUCUGAAGAGUUCAGUCUGCACUCCUGCAACAGCUGGCCAAUGGAUCUUCCUGCCUCAAGUUUCUCCACACUCCAAUCCAUCCUCCUUUCAACCACUAAGGCCUAGAGCUGAUGACUCCAUACCUGUGAGUAUCAGCCUUACAGGACUUCAAAUCAGACUGCUCUGCAUUUUGAGACUCAAAAAGAAGGUGAAAUGAGGACUUAUCUACUGGCUGAAAUUUAAAUUUUCCAGGUGGCAGAAGUCCUGGAGAGUUGGAAUCAAAAAAUGGAAAUUUACACUUAAAGAA